This is a non-coding RNA of Beta vulgaris subsp. vulgaris (sugar beet), 75 nucleotides long. NCBI's taxonomy places the organism in Eukaryota, Viridiplantae, Streptophyta, Magnoliopsida, Caryophyllales, Amaranthaceae. The record is from Rfam.
GAGAAAUGAUGAAUACAUUUUGGUCCGUGUUUCUGAAUUUACCGUGACCGAUACCAUUAAACCAUUUCUGAUCUC